GACGAACGCUGGCGGCGUGCUUAACACAUGCAAGUCGAACGGAAAGGCCCUGCUUUUGUGGGGUGCUCGAGUGGCGAACGGGUGAGUAACACGUGAGUAACCUGCCCUUGACUUUGGGAUAACUUCAGGAAACUGGGGCUAAUACCGGAUAGGAGCUCCUGCUGCAUGGUGGGGGUUGGAAAGUUUCGGCGGUUGGGGAUGGACUCGCGGCUUAUCAGCUUGUUGGUGGGGUAGUGGCUUACCAAGGCUUUGACGGGUAGCCGGCCUGAGAGGGUGACCGGCCACAUUGGGACUGAGAUACGGCCCAGACUCCUACGGGAGGCAGCAGUGGGGAAUAUUGCACAAUGGGCGGAAGCCUGAUGCAGCAACGCCGCGUGCGGGAUAACGGCCUUCGGGUUGUAAACCGCUUUCGCCUGUGACGAAGCGUGAGUGACGGUAAUGGGUAAAGAAACACCGGCUAACUACGUG
RNAcentral lists this ribosomal RNA (468 nucleotides) under uncultured bacterium. Its description in RNAcentral is "partial 16S ribosomal RNA". It matches the Rfam family "Bacterial small subunit ribosomal RNA", at positions 28 to 507 of the family's 1533-position model. The record is from RNAcentral.